RNAcentral lists this long non-coding RNA (230 nucleotides) under Lathyrus oleraceus (garden pea). RNAcentral's name for it is "Pisum sativum (pea) long non-coding RNA (PSAT_LNC016439)". The record is from RNAcentral. Lineage: Eukaryota; Viridiplantae; Streptophyta; Magnoliopsida; Fabales; Fabaceae.
UAAAAUUCUGUUUUUUUCCCUCCCAAAAUUAACAGAUUUUAUUUUCUUUAGAGUCACUUUAGUUGUAGCUUUUAUUCCCAAUGUAUAAAUACAUUUGUAUUAUUCCAAUUAAAGGUUAAUGCAAAAAUACAUACUCAUCCAAAUAUUACUCUAUUCUCUCUAUUUUUCUCUCUCAACUUCAUCUUCCCCAAUCUUCUUUUCUUCCACCAUUGUUGAACCUUCAAUUUUCA